Non-coding RNA from Paramuricea clavata, 2355 nucleotides. The record is from the annotation of a GenBank genome assembly. Lineage: Eukaryota; Metazoa; Cnidaria; Anthozoa; Malacalcyonacea; Plexauridae.
CGAACCGUCCUGACCGCGUAGCUCAGUUGGAAGAGCAUUGGGCUAGUAUUCCAAAGGUCGUAGGUUCGAAUCCCACCGUGGCCGGGCAUAUUUUUCAAGCUCGCCCGGUGUGGAUAUGCACUCAGAGCAACAUCGCAAACAUAUUAUUCACCUGAGUACACAACACCAACACAGAAAAAAAAAAUUCAUAUUACUAGAACACAUUGGUAUUGAAGGAACUAGAUACUGUUCCGAAAUAUCACUUACUCGAACCGUCCUGACCGCGUAGCUCAGUUGGAAGAGCAUUGGGCUAGUAUUCCAAAGGUCGUAGGUUCGAAUCCCACCGUGGCUGGGCAUAUUUUUCAAGCUCGUCCGGUGUGGAUAUGCACUCAGAGUAACAUCGCAAACAUAUUAUUCACCUGAGUACACAACACCAACACAGAAAAAUUCAUAUUACUAGAACACAUUGGUAUUGAAGGAACUAGAUAAUGUUCCGAAAUAUCACUUACUCGAACCGUCCUGACCGCGUAGCUCAGUUGGAAGAGCAUUGGGCCAGUAUUCCAAAGGUCGUAGGUUCGAAUCCUACCGUGGCCGGGCAUAUUUUUCAAGCUCGCCCGGUGUGGAUAUGCACUCUGAGUAACAUCGCAAACAUAUUAUUCACCUGAGUACACAACACCAACACAGAGAAAAAAAAAUUCAUAUUACUAGAACAUAUUGGUAUUGAAAGAACUAGAUACUGUUCCGAAAUAUCACUUACUCGAACUGUCCUCACCGCGUAGCUCAGUUGGAAGAGCAUUGGGCUAGUAUUCCAAAGGUCGUAGGUUCGAGUCGGGCCGUGGCCGGGCAUGUUUUUCAAGCUCGCCCGGUGUAGAUAUGCACUCAGAGUAACAUCGCAAACAUAUUAUUCACCUGAGUACAGAACACCAACACAGAGAAAAAAAAAAUUCAUAUUACUAGAACAUAUUGGUAUUGAAGGAACUAGAUACUGUUCCGAAAUAUCACUUACUCGAACCGUCCUGACCGCGUAGCUCAGUUGGAAGAGCAUUGGGCUAGUAUUCCAAAGCUCGUAGGUUCGAAUCCCACCGUGGCCGGGCAUAUUUUUCAAGCUCGCCCGGUGUGGAUAUGCACUCAGAGUAACAUGGCAAACAUAUUAUUCACCUGAGUACACAACACCAACACAGAGAAAAAAAAAAAUUCAUAUUACUAGAAGAUAUUGGUAUUGAAGGAACCAGAUACUGUUCCGAAAUAUCACUUACUCGAACCGUCCUGACUGCGUAGCUCAGUUGGAAGAGCAUUGGGCUAGUAUUCCAAAGGUCGUAGGUUCAAAUCCCACCGUGGCCGGGCAUAUUUUUCAAGCUCGCCCGGUGUGGAUAUGCACUCAGAGUAACAUCGCAAACAUAUUAUUCACCUGAGUACACAACACCAGCACAGAAAAAAAAAAUUCAUAUUACUAGAACAUAUUGGUAUUGAAGGAACUAGAUACUGUUCCGAAAUAUCACUUACUCGAACCGUGCUGACCACGUAGCUCAGUUGGAAGACCAUUGGCCUAGUAUUCCAAAGGUCGUAGGUUCGAAUCCCACCGUGGCCGGGCAUAUUUUUCAAGCUCGCCCGGUGUGGAUAUGCACUCAGAUUAACAUGGCAAACAUAUUAUUCACCUGAGUACACAACACCAACACAGAGAAAAAAAAAUUCAUAUUAGUAGAACAUAUUGGUAUUGAAGGAACUAGAUACUGUGCCGAAAUAUCACUUACUCGAACCGUCCUGACCGGGUAGCUCAGUUGGAAGAGCAUUGGGCUAGUAUUCCAAAGGUCGUAGGUUCGAAUCCCAGCAUGGCCGGGCAUAUUUUUCAAGUUCGCCCGGUGUGGAUAUGCACUCAGAGUAACAUCGCAAACAUAUUAUUCACCUGAGUACACAACACCAACACAGAAAAAAAAAAUUCAUAUUACUAGAACAUAUUCGUAUUGAAGCAACUAGAUACUGUUCCGAAAUAUCACUUACUCGAACCGUCCUGACCGCGUAGCUCAGUUGGAAGAGCAUUGGGCUAGUAUUCCAAAGGUCGUAGGUUCGAAUCCCACCGUGGCCGGGCAUAUUUUUCAAGCUCGCCCGGUGUGGAUAUGCACUCAGAGUAACAUCGCAAAACAUAUUAUUCACCUGAGUACACAACACCAGCACAGAAAAAAAAUUCAUAUUACUAGAACACAUUGGUAUUGAAGGAACUAGAUACUGUUCCGAAAUAUCACUUACUCGAACCAUGCUGACCGCGUAGCUCAGUUGGAAGAGCAUUGGGCUAGUAUUCCAAAGGUCGCAGGUUCGAAUCCCACCGUGGCCGGGCAUAUUUUUCAAGCUCGCCCGGUGUGGAUAUGCACUCAGAGUAAC